RNAcentral lists this ribosomal RNA (253 nucleotides) under uncultured bacterium. Its description in RNAcentral is "partial 16S ribosomal RNA". It matches the Rfam family "Bacterial small subunit ribosomal RNA", at positions 524 to 776 of the family's 1533-position model. The record is from RNAcentral.
UACGAAGGGGGCUAGCGUUGCUCGGAAUCACUGGGCGUAAAGCGCACGUAGGCGGCUUUUUAAGUCAGGGGUGAAAUCCUGGAGCUCAACUCCAGAACUGCCUUUGAUACUGGGAAGCUUGAGUCCGGAAGAGGUGAGUGGAACUCCGAGUGUAGAGGUGAAAUUCGUAGAUAUUCGGAAGAACACUAGUGGCGAAGGCGGCUCACUGGUCCGGUACUGACGCUGAGGUGCGAAAGCGUGGGGAGCAAACAGG